CCUGGCGGCGAUAGCGCGGUGGUCCCACCUGACCCCAUGCCGAACUCAGAAGUGAAACGCCGUAGCGCCGAU
RNAcentral lists this ribosomal RNA (72 nucleotides) under Klebsiella aerogenes. Lineage: Bacteria; Pseudomonadati; Pseudomonadota; Gammaproteobacteria; Enterobacterales; Enterobacteriaceae. The record is from RNAcentral. RNAcentral also lists the same sequence under 1 other name.